UCAAAUUAAUGCUUGAUCCUGAAUCAAUCAAAGCCUCUCCUAUUGAUGACACAAGGAAGGGUUAAAGCUCCUGAAUCUUCUAGUUUCUGUGGAUGGUUCUUCUUCCUGGGUUUCGCCCACUGCUCCUGAUUUUCUUCAUAGCCCAAAUCAAGUAACCAUUCCAGAUAGUAUUUGAUUUUGUCAUCACCUUCAGGAGUUUGCAAAGAUGUUCUAGGAUUAAGGGGUGCCUCCUUAAGAAUCUUGCGGAGUGAUUCUUUAAUGUCUUCCUUCUCCUUGUCUCUUUCUGAUUUCUUCCUUUCGCUUCUCUUAUGUUUAUUACUCAUCCUUUCCUCCUCUUCGUCAUCACUGCUGCUAAUCUCAAUUGUUUCUUCUUCUAGUCUCCUCUUUCCUCCUGUUGUAAUAACUUUGCAUUCAUCUUUAGGGUUAACAUCAGUAUUAGCCCGAAAUUGAUGCUUCUCUAUGGUUUCAACCCUCUUAGACAGUUGUCCUAUUUGUGUCUCUAGUGAUCUAAAAGUUGC
RNAcentral lists this long non-coding RNA (518 nucleotides) under Vigna radiata. Its description in RNAcentral is "long non-coding RNA (VRAD_LNC013723)". Lineage: Eukaryota; Viridiplantae; Streptophyta; Magnoliopsida; Fabales; Fabaceae. The record is from RNAcentral.